RNAcentral lists this ribosomal RNA (253 nucleotides) under uncultured bacterium. RNAcentral's name for it is "partial 16S ribosomal RNA". It matches the Rfam family "Bacterial small subunit ribosomal RNA", at positions 524 to 776 of the family's 1533-position model. The record is from RNAcentral.
UACGGGGGGGGCAAGCGUUGUUCGGAAUUACUGGGCGUAAAGGGCUCGUAGGCGGCCAACUAAGUCAGACGUGAAAUCCCUCGGCUUAACUGGGGAACUGCGUCUGAUACUGGAUGGCUUGAGUUUGGGAGAGGGAUGCGGAAUUCCAGGUGUAGCGGUGAAAUGCGUAGAUAUCUGGAGGAACACCGGUGGCGAAGGCGGCAUCCUGGACCGGCAUUGACGCUGAGGCGCGAAAGCCAGGGGAGCAAACGGG